AGCAGUCGCCACGGGAAUACAGAGGGUGCGAGCGUUAAUCGGAUUUACUGGGCGUAAAGCGUGCGUAGGCGGCUUUUUAAGUCGGAUGUGAAAUCCCUGAGCUUAACUUAGGAAUUGCAUUCGAUACUGGGAAGCUAGAGUAUGGGAGAGGAUGGUAGAAUUCCAGGUGUAGCGGUGAAAUGCGUAGAGAUCUGGAGGAAUACCGAUGGCGAAGGCAGCCAUCUGGCCUAAUACUGACGCUGAGGUACGAAAGCAUGGGGAGCAAACAGGAUUAGAUACCCCCUAGUCCCUGUCUCUUAUACA
Molecule: ribosomal RNA, 303 nt
Filed under: uncultured bacterium
Lineage: Bacteria
Description: partial 16S ribosomal RNA
Rfam family: Bacterial small subunit ribosomal RNA
Source: RNAcentral